This is a long non-coding RNA of Balaenoptera musculus (blue whale), 1133 nucleotides long. RefSeq lists it as uncharacterized. The record is from RefSeq and is a predicted model, not a curated record. Lineage: Eukaryota; Metazoa; Chordata; Mammalia; Artiodactyla; Balaenopteridae. The transcript has 5 exons.
UCCAUCCAGUAUCAGCUUUGGGGCUUCAUCAAUAUCUUGCCAGGGUUGCAACACGUACAGUUCUGCAAGAUUCAGAAUAGCCUCAAAUCACCACAUUUUCGGAAAACGGAUUGAAAAGCUGAUCAAACAGGACGUUUGAUGCCAGGAUGAAAGGGGAGCUGGGUCCUGCACGAUCGAGUUGGAGGCAAAGUGCGGGCUGGAGUUCUCUACAGCUGGAGGAGGAGCCGUCAGUCAUCCAUCAGGUGGCUGGUGCUGGACUGGCCCUGGGUUAUGUGGCUCCCAGUUUCCUCCACGUGGAGGCCAGUUCUUGGGCUGUUGAGGGUCCAGAUGGCUUCCAGGAAUUCUCCCACCGAUGAAUGAAGAAGAGGGCAUCCGAUGAACACGAUGGAAUAAGGUUUAAAUUUCCUGGUGAUUUGACAUGAAAUAUUGACAUCAGUGAACAUAACACAUAACUCAAAAUAGGUCCCUGCAGAGAGGACAUCACAACGACACUGGGUAUCGAGGGUCGUCCAUCCAAGGAGCAGGAUGGUCCCCGUGUGAGGAAACUGGACAUGCCCUGAAUUCUUCCUGCUCAUCUAUGAAGGAAACUUGGUCGAAGUUUAUAUUCUCUCGAUAGAAUAUGACGUUCCAGAAUCCUUGUCCAACAAAGAGGGGGAUCGUGUCCCUCCUGGGGGGCUGUGACAUCACGUGUGUAAAGUGCCUGCAGGCCUCCUGCGUCCGUAACAGAUGCCAGUUCUUAGCUCCUUCCCUCCGCCUUUUCCUGGUCACAUCACAAAGAUGGUUUCAGUUCCUCCCAUGGGCCCCGCUAAGUGGAACCUGCUCCCGUCCGAGCCGCCGGCCCACCUCUUGUAAAGAGACCUACUCGAGAGAGGCUCAAAGGCUUAAGGCAAAACAGCUACUUUCAACCAACAUCUCAUUCUUUGCCAAGCACUCUCACCUCUGUUACCACAACUGUUCUUCAUCCAAUCCGUGCAAGGCCCCCAGCACAUGCCUGGUCCUGCCUGCCCUGUCCACCCCCUGCCCCCUGCGACUUUAUCAUGUGGCCUCUCAAGUCCUGCUCUGACCUUGCUGAGUAGUGGCCUCUGGGCAGCCCAAGACCCCAGAGAGGGAAGAAGCGACCUGGAGAGGAAGAC